RNAcentral lists this microRNA precursor (76 nucleotides) under Ophiophagus hannah (king cobra). Its description in RNAcentral is "mir-17 microRNA precursor family". It matches the Rfam family "mir-17 microRNA precursor family". From Rfam's summary of the family: This family represents the microRNA (miRNA) precursor mir-17, family, which includes mir-20, mir-91, and mir-103. miRNAs are transcribed as ~70nt precursors (modelled here) and subsequently processed by the Dicer enzyme to give a ~22nt product. In this case the mature sequence comes from the 3' arm of the precursor. The record is from Rfam by way of RNAcentral. Lineage: Eukaryota; Metazoa; Chordata; Lepidosauria; Squamata; Elapidae. RNAcentral also lists the same sequence under 1 other name.
UUGGUGGUGCAAAAGUGCUUAUAGUGCAAGUAGUCAAGCGGUCUCUACUGCAGUGUUAGCACUUCAGUGACACAAU